AUCGGAGAUGCUAGUGCCUUGUUCUUCAUGAAGUGGUGUCAGGAUGGAGCCUGCCAACCUGAUAACAUGCAAUAGACUUCCCUCUCUUUCCAUCUUACUCUGGGGAUACUUGAAUGAGAGAUGGCAUAGAGUUCGUCUGUUUAAUUCUCCAUUUGCCUCGAACUGUAUGCCUGAUGGCAUCCUGGGAUUCUGGCAUCAUCUGCACCCCAGUUUCUGUUUCCCAUGGCAUACAAGAGCUGUGAUAAAGAUCAAAGUUGCAGAGUCGAGAA
This is a long non-coding RNA of Condylura cristata (star-nosed mole), 269 nucleotides long. RefSeq lists it as uncharacterized. The transcript has 3 exons. Lineage: Eukaryota; Metazoa; Chordata; Mammalia; Eulipotyphla; Talpidae. The record is from RefSeq and is a predicted model, not a curated record.